UUAUGGGGUGUAAGUCCUCCCCUUUACA
Molecule: transfer RNA, 28 nt
Filed under: Diporiphora magna
Lineage: Eukaryota; Metazoa; Chordata; Lepidosauria; Squamata; Agamidae
Description: partial tRNA-Tyr
Source: RNAcentral